GACGAACGCUGGCGGCGUGCUUAACACAUGCAAGUCGAACGGAAAGGCCCUGCUUUUGUGGGGUGCUCGAGUGGCGAACGGGUGAGUAACACGUGAGUAACCUGCCCUUGACUUUGGGAUAACUUCAGGAAACUGGGGCUAAUACCGGAUAGGAGCUCCUGCUGCAUGGUGGGGGUUGGAAAGUUUCGGCGGUUGGGGAUGGACUCGCGGCUUAUCAGCUUGUUGGUGGGGUAGUGGCUUACCAAGGCUUUGACGGGUAGCCGGCCUGGGAGGGUGACCGGCCACAUUGGGCCUGCGAUACGGCCCAGACUCCUACGGGAGGCAGCAGGGGGGAAUAUUGCACAAUGGGCGGAAGCCUGAUGCAGCAACGCCGCGUGCGGGAUGACGGCCUUCGGGUUGUAAACCGCUUUCGCCUGUGACGAAGCGUGAGUGACGGUAAUGGGUAAAGAAGCACCGGCUAACUACGUG
RNAcentral lists this ribosomal RNA (468 nucleotides) under uncultured bacterium. RNAcentral describes it as "partial 16S ribosomal RNA". It matches the Rfam family "Bacterial small subunit ribosomal RNA", at positions 28 to 507 of the family's 1533-position model. The record is from RNAcentral.